UACGUAGGGUGCAAGCGUUGUCCGGAAUUAUUGGGCGUAAAGAGCUCGUAGGCGGUCUGUCGCGUCGGAUGUGAAAAUCCAGGGCUCAACCCUGGACCUGCAUUCGAUACGGGCAGACUAGAGUUCGGUAGGGGAGACUGGAAUUCUUGGUGUAGCGGUGAAAUGCGUAGAUAUCAAGAGGAACACCUGAGGUGAAGACGGGUUGCUGGGCCGACACUGACGCUGAGUGCGCGAAAGCCAGGGGAGCAAACGGG
RNAcentral lists this ribosomal RNA (254 nucleotides) under uncultured bacterium. RNAcentral's name for it is "partial 16S ribosomal RNA". It matches the Rfam family "Bacterial small subunit ribosomal RNA", at positions 524 to 776 of the family's 1533-position model. The record is from RNAcentral.